GCCGCUAUGGUAAAAUUGGUAGACACGCUGCUCUUAGGAUGCAGUGCUAAUGCAUCUCGGUUCGAGUCCGAGUGGCGGUA
Non-coding RNA from Capsicum annuum, 80 nucleotides. The record is from Rfam. NCBI's taxonomy places the organism in Eukaryota, Viridiplantae, Streptophyta, Magnoliopsida, Solanales, Solanaceae.